GGGCCAUUGACGCAGCCAGGUAGCGUGUCGGGCUUUUAACCCGCAAGUCGGGGGUCCGAAUCCCUCAUGGCCCG
RNAcentral lists this transfer RNA (74 nucleotides) under Promethearchaeota archaeon. RNAcentral describes it as "tRNA-Lys". It matches the Rfam family "tRNA". Rfam says of the family: Transfer RNA (tRNA) molecules are approximately 80 nucleotides in length. Their secondary structure includes four short double-helical elements and three loops (D, anti-codon, and T loops). Further hydrogen bonds mediate the characteristic L-shaped molecular structure. tRNAs have two regions of fundamental functional importance: the anti-codon, which is responsible for specific mRNA codon recognition, and the 3' end, to which the tRNAs corresponding amino acid is attached (by aminoacyl-tRNA synthetases). tRNAs cope with the degeneracy of the genetic code in two manners: having more than one tRNA (with a specific anti-codon) for a particular amino acid; and 'wobble' base-pairing, i.e. permitting non-standard base-pairing at the 3rd anti-codon position. RNAcentral also lists the same sequence under 1 other name. Lineage: Archaea; Promethearchaeati; Promethearchaeota. The record is from RNAcentral.